UACGUAGGGGCUAGCGUUAUCCGGAAUUACUGGGCGUAAAGAGUGCGUAGGUGGUUUCUUAAGUCAGAGGUGAAAGGCUACGGCUCAACCGUAGUAAGCCUUUGAAACUGGGAAACUUGAGUGCAGGAGAGGAGAGUGGAAUUCCUAGUGUAGCGGUGAAAUGCGUAGAUAUUAGGAGGAACACCAGUUGCGAAGGCGGCUCUCUGGACUGUAACUGACACCGAGGCACGAAAGCGUGGGGAGCAAACAGGAUUAGAUACCCGUGUAGUCCCUGAG
Molecule: ribosomal RNA, 276 nt
Filed under: uncultured prokaryote
Description: partial 16S ribosomal RNA
Rfam family: Bacterial small subunit ribosomal RNA
Source: RNAcentral